Molecule: transfer RNA, 85 nt
Filed under: Polymorphobacter multimanifer
Lineage: Bacteria; Pseudomonadati; Pseudomonadota; Alphaproteobacteria; Sphingomonadales; Sphingosinicellaceae
Also listed under: 2 other names
Description: tRNA-Leu
Rfam family: tRNA
About the family: Transfer RNA (tRNA) molecules are approximately 80 nucleotides in length. Their secondary structure includes four short double-helical elements and three loops (D, anti-codon, and T loops). Further hydrogen bonds mediate the characteristic L-shaped molecular structure. tRNAs have two regions of fundamental functional importance: the anti-codon, which is responsible for specific mRNA codon recognition, and the 3' end, to which the tRNAs corresponding amino acid is attached (by aminoacyl-tRNA synthetases). tRNAs cope with the degeneracy of the genetic code in two manners: having more than one tRNA (with a specific anti-codon) for a particular amino acid; and 'wobble' base-pairing, i.e. permitting non-standard base-pairing at the 3rd anti-codon position.
Source: RNAcentral
GCGGGCGUGGCGGAAUUGGUAGACGCGCUGGAUUUAGGUUCCAGUGUCGAGAGACGUGGGGGUUCGAGUCCCUUCGCCCGCACCA